RNAcentral lists this ribosomal RNA (496 nucleotides) under uncultured bacterium. RNAcentral describes it as "partial 16S ribosomal RNA". It matches the Rfam family "Bacterial small subunit ribosomal RNA", at positions 30 to 523 of the family's 1533-position model. The record is from RNAcentral.
AUUGAACGCUGGCGGAAUGCUUUACACAUGCAAGUCGAACGGUAGAGGGGGCAACCCCUCGAGAGUGGCGAACGGGUGAGUAAUAUAUCGGAACGUGCCCAGUCGUGGGGGAUAACGUAGCGAAAGUUACGCUAAUACCGCAUACGAUCUAAGGAUGAAAGCGGGGGAUCGCAAGACCUCGCGCGAUUGGAGCGGCCGAUAUCAGAUUAGGUAGUUGGUGGGGUAAAGGCUCACCAAGCCAACGAUCUGUAGCUGGUCUGAGAGGACGACCAGACACACUAGAACUGAGACACGGUCCAGACUCCUACGGGAGGCAGCAGUGGGGAAUUUUGGACAAUGGACGCAAGUCUGAUCCAGCCAUUCCGCGUGCAGGAUGAAGGCCCUCGGGUUGUAAACUGCUUUUGUACGGAACGAAAAGGUCUCUCUUAAUACGGGGGACUCAUGACGGUACCGUAAGAAUAAGCACCGGCUAACUACGUGCCAGCCGCCGCCGUAA